GUGAGGGGAGCUGAGGCAGGA
This 21-nucleotide microRNA is filed under the name Mus musculus (house mouse). RNAcentral describes it as "mmu-miR-7070-5p". The record is from miRBase by way of RNAcentral. Lineage: Eukaryota; Metazoa; Chordata; Mammalia; Rodentia; Muridae.